RNAcentral lists this ribosomal RNA (497 nucleotides) under uncultured Actinomycetes bacterium. RNAcentral's name for it is "bacterial SSU rRNA". It matches the Rfam family "Bacterial small subunit ribosomal RNA", at positions 355 to 867 of the family's 1533-position model. Lineage: Bacteria; Bacillati; Actinomycetota; Actinomycetes. The record is from RNAcentral.
UGGGGAAUAUUGCGCAAUGGGCGGAAGCCUGACGUAGCGACGCCGCGUGGGGGAUGACAGCCUUCGGGUUGUAAACCUCUUUCAGCAGGGACGAAGGUGACGUGUACCUGUAGAAGAAGCGCCGGCUAACUACGUGCCAGCAGCCGCGGUAAUACGUAGGGCGCGAGCGUUGUCCGGAAUUAUUGGGCGUAAAGAGCUCGUAGGUGGCUUGUCGCGUCUGCCGUGAAAGCCCAUGGCUUAACUGUGGGUCUGCGGUGGAUACGGGCUGGCUGGAGGCAGGUAGGGGAGAACGGAAUUCCUGGUGUAGCGGUGAAAUGCGCAGAUAUCAGGAGGAACACCGGUGGCGAAGGCGGUUCUCUGGGCCUUGCCUGACGCUGAGGAGCGAAAGCGUGGGGAGCGAACAGGAUUAGAUACCCUGGUAGUCCAUGCUGUAAACGUUGGGCGCUAGGUGUGGGGUCCUUCCACGGAUUCUGUGCCGUAGCUAACGCAUUAAGCCG